GGGCAUUUUCGGCCAAUCUCUCUGACGCCCUACGCCCCCACCGCGACUCCACAUGCUUGCAACUUGCUAGACAUCCGCCAGGUGAUGAGGCCGCUCCGCCUUGGCAAGGCACCCACCGAGGCACCAACCAAUCUGCCCUUUGGGGAAGUGGCGAUGCAGUGCUCGGAUCGAACGUCGAAGUGUUACGACUUGGCAUCUUCAAAGCUCGGACUCUGGACGAAGAUAUCAUGAAGACUGGUAGGUUUAGUUACCAUCUUGAAAUUGUCGAUUUUGUUUUCAUUAUGUACAACAGUACAAGUGGUCUUGUAUGAAGGUGGUCAGAUUUAUGAAUCAAUAGAGCUUUAUUAUAGGAUUGUUCACUGACAUGCAUAUGGUGAAGAGCUAAGUUUUUACAUGAUCAUCUCAGAUGUAUCUGACUUUGUUCGGUAUUAUGGGCAUAAAACAUGGAAUAUAUAUUUCUUAUGUAACUUUUUGAAAUAAGAGUUAUUGAUGUAUUCUUGAUAAAA
Hordeum vulgare subsp. vulgare (domesticated barley) is the source of this 506-nucleotide long non-coding RNA. RefSeq lists it as uncharacterized. NCBI's taxonomy places the organism in Eukaryota, Viridiplantae, Streptophyta, Magnoliopsida, Poales, Poaceae. The record is from RefSeq and is a predicted model, not a curated record. The transcript is spliced from 2 exons.